RNAcentral lists this long non-coding RNA (1505 nucleotides) under Orbicella faveolata. RNAcentral describes it as "uncharacterized LOC110048793, transcript variant X2". The record is from RNAcentral. Lineage: Eukaryota; Metazoa; Cnidaria; Anthozoa; Scleractinia; Merulinidae.
AAAGUUAAUUUUAUGUUAAUUAAACUCAUCACCAUCAUGAGUGUGGGGGAAGGUGCCUGGCAAGUCUAAAAAUGGUUCAUAGUAAGCAAUCAGCAGGUUUACGGGACUUCUAAUUAAUUUUUAUCAAUCAUGUGUGCCUAGUAUAGAGCAACCAGAGUUUAGAAUGACUGAAUCACUCAAUAAGUGCUUGUAACUCUUCGUCUGAUAAGACAGAAAGCAACAUCUUGACAUAAUAAAAUUAAACAGGAAAACAUUAUCAAACCUAGUGUCACUCCCGACUCCCCUUGGGAGAUUUUUUGUCGGUCACGUGAUGUGACCAUUGGACUUUAAGUCGCCAUGUGUUCAAGAAAGCGAGUGUUUUGAAUCGCAGGAGUUUGUCAAAGUUGUUAUUGUGCCGUUCGUUUAGCUCGAAGCAAACAGUUCGGCUUGAAACAAGCCUUGGCAACAAUAAAUGACUACAACCCACUCAUGAAGUAUUCCCAUUGGAUGACCUUCUGGCUGCAACAGAACUGGACAAGAUCCGUGCUGCACUGAGUGCUACUUUCACUCAUUUGAAAAAGAUCCGUAGCACUAAGUAUCCAAAUCCAAAGAGCUUUGCAACUUGUUGAUAAUGCAACUUGUUGAUAAUGAAGCCAUCUCGAGGGACUUGAACUCACAGCUGUUUAAAAAGGUUUUGGGAACAAGAAGAUUGAUGCACAUCAACCAUGAAGAAUUUGAAAAGAUCAUGAGUCACUUGCUUUGAAGUGUUCACAAGGUGGGAUGAUGAGUAUGAAAAGCUUCAAACCUUGUUACAAUCAGACAUUGUGAAGAAGAAAAGAGAAGAAAGCCUGAAGAUGGUGUGGAGAGUGAACCCAGCUCACAAACGACUUCAGGCCAGACUUGACCAGAUGAGAAAAUAUUGCAGAUUUUGCCGCCAACAUGAGCAGCUGCGAGCUGUCAUUGUCUGUGUACUCCAGCCCCAUGUCAGCCGUUAGCCAAGCUUCUCCCCCCAGUCCAGGUAGUCCUCCCAAGACAGCUGAGGAUGAGGAGGCAAAGCCAGGAGCUCUGCUUGAUCCUGCUGAUGCUAACGCCAUACAGGAAGUCAACCUUGCUUAUGAGAAUGUCAAGGAGGUUGAUGGACUUGAUGUGUCAAAAGAUGGGUCUGAGGCAUGGGAGGCAGCCAUCAAGAGGAAUGAAAUCAUACCCAAGUUGAGGGAGUAUAACAUAUUCUUUGGGGAAGAAAAGCUCUCCAGUUAACUAGCAAGGAGGUUGGAGGCAGGCUUAUUCUUGAAGGCAUUCUCAAGAUAUACUGGGGAUUAAAGGUGCCUGUUACACUAGCAAGCCACAACCUUUCCAAUUGGCAUAGACGGUCUCAAAACGACCCGAAUGGUUAUGCGAGAGUUUUAGCUGCUAAGAAAAAAGAUGGCAUUGUGAGUAUAUUUGGAUGAAAACGUUAGAGCCAACAGCUUGUCUAGCAGUGCUGGUGCUUCAAACGUGAUUUUCUUUAGCAUGAAGUGUCUAGCCAG